Molecule: ribosomal RNA, 1531 nt
Filed under: Salmonella enterica subsp. enterica serovar Sanjuan
Lineage: Bacteria; Pseudomonadati; Pseudomonadota; Gammaproteobacteria; Enterobacterales; Enterobacteriaceae
Description: bacterial SSU rRNA
Rfam family: Bacterial small subunit ribosomal RNA
Source: RNAcentral
AGAGUUUUGAUCAUGGCUCAGAUUGAACGCUGGCGGCAGGCCUAACACAUGCAAGUCGAACGGUAACAGGAAGCAGCUUGCUGCUUUGCUGACGAGUGGCGGACGGGUGAGUAAUGUCUGGGAAACUGCCUGAUGGAGGGGGAUAACUACUGGAAACGGUGGCUAAUACCGCAUAACGUCGCAAGACCAAAGAGGGGGACCUUCGGGCCUCUUGCCAUCAGAUGUGCCCAGAUGGGAUUAGCUUGUUGGUGAGGUAAUGGCUCACCAAGGCGACGAUCCCUAGCUGGUCUGAGAGGAUGACCAGCCACACUGGAACUGAGACACGGUCCAGACUCCUACGGGAGGCAGCAGUGGGGAAUAUUGCACAAUGGGCGCAAGCCUGAUGCAGCCAUGCCGCGUGUAUGAAGAAGGCCUUCGGGUUGUAAAGUACUUUCAGCGGGGAGGAAGGUGUUGUGGUUAAUAACCACAGCAAUUGACGUUACCCGCAGAAGAAGCACCGGCUAACUCCGUGCCAGCAGCCGCGGUAAUACGGAGGGUGCGAGCGUUAAUCGGAAUUACUGGGCGUAAAGCGCACGCAGGCGGUCUGUCAAGUCGGAUGUGAAAUCCCCGGGCUCAACCUGGGAACUGCAUUCGAAACUGGCAGGCUUGAGUCUUGUAGAGGGGGGUGGAAUUCCAGGUGUAGCGGUGAAAUGCGUAGAGAUCUGGAGGAAUACCGGUGGCGAAGGCGGCCCCCUGGACAAAGACUGACGCUCAGGUGCGAAAGCGUGGGGAGCAAACAGGAUUAGAUACCCUGGUAGUCCACGCCGUAAACGAUGUCUACUUGGAGGUUGUGCCCUUGAGGCGUGGCUUCCGGAGCUAACGCGUUAAGUAGACCGCCUGGGGAGUACGGCCGCAAGGUUAAAACUCAAAUGAAUUGACGGGGGCCCGCACAAGCGGUGGAGCAUGUGGUUUAAUUCGAUGCAACGCGAAGAACCUUACCUGGUCUUGACAUCCACGGAAGUUUUCAGAGAUGAGAAUGUGCCUUCGGGAACCGUGAGACAGGUGCUGCAUGGCUGUCGUCAGCUCGUGUUGUGAAAUGUUGGGUUAAGUCCCGCAACGAGCGCAACCCUUAUCCUUUGUUGCCAGCGAUUAGGUCGGGAACUCAAAGGAGACUGCCAGUGAUAAACUGGAGGAAGGUGGGGAUGACGUCAAGUCAUCAUGGCCCUUACGACCAGGGCUACACACGUGCUACAAUGGCGCAUACAAAGAGAAGCGACCUCGCGAGAGCAAGCGGACCUCAUAAAGUGCGUCGUAGUCCGGAUUGGAGUCUGCAACUCGACUCCAUGAAGUCGGAAUCGCUAGUAAUCGUGGAUCAGAAUGCCACGGUGAAUACGUUCCCGGGCCUUGUACACACCGCCCGUCACACCAUGGGAGUGGGUUGCAAAAGAAGUAGGUAGCUUAACCUUCGGGAGGGCGCUUACCACUUUGUGAUUCAUGACUGGGGUGAAGUCGUAACAAGGUAACCGUAGGGGAACCUGCGGUUGGAUCACCU